AAAUAACUUGAAGUCGUAAUAUGGGCUAUAUAAUAUCUACUUACACGUUUAUCAUUAUCAAUUGUUUUUAUAAUAUUUUCAAAGGUAGGUAAUACAAAUUAUCGCUUUGAUGGGUUCCCUGAAGUGAAUGUCAAAUGUUGUCGUGAACGUUUUUCCAUUAUUAAAUAAAUGCAAUAAUCGGCAAGUCCGAAUUUGGUUCAUCAAUA
Molecule: non-coding RNA, 206 nt
Organism: Cinara cedri
Lineage: Eukaryota; Metazoa; Arthropoda; Insecta; Hemiptera; Aphididae
Source: the annotation of a GenBank genome assembly